GCGGGAGUGGUGGAAUCGGUAGACACGCAGGAUUUAGGUUCCUGUGCCUUCGGGCGUGAGGGUUCAAGUCCCUCCUUCCGCA
RNAcentral lists this transfer RNA (82 nucleotides) under Agromyces mariniharenae. It matches the Rfam family "tRNA". From Rfam's summary of the family: Transfer RNA (tRNA) molecules are approximately 80 nucleotides in length. Their secondary structure includes four short double-helical elements and three loops (D, anti-codon, and T loops). Further hydrogen bonds mediate the characteristic L-shaped molecular structure. tRNAs have two regions of fundamental functional importance: the anti-codon, which is responsible for specific mRNA codon recognition, and the 3' end, to which the tRNAs corresponding amino acid is attached (by aminoacyl-tRNA synthetases). tRNAs cope with the degeneracy of the genetic code in two manners: having more than one tRNA (with a specific anti-codon) for a particular amino acid; and 'wobble' base-pairing, i.e. permitting non-standard base-pairing at the 3rd anti-codon position. Lineage: Bacteria; Bacillati; Actinomycetota; Actinomycetes; Micrococcales; Microbacteriaceae. The record is from Rfam by way of RNAcentral. RNAcentral also lists the same sequence under 1 other name.